CUUCCUCUCAGGUCAGCCGCUUGCCUCUUCCUGUACCCGCUUCCCUAUCUGAGCAGGACUACAAGGCCCACCUCUGCAGCAUUCUUGCCCAGGCCUGAUUCUCAAGCAAAGUCUUUUCUCCACAAAUAGAGCCUACUUCCCAGAAAUUUGGUGGCUGCCUCUGUGCUAUGAUUUGGUUGCUACCUGCUGAAGCUUCAACCUCUCAUCACUACCAGAAGGACCACAUCACUAAAAGUCCAUCAAUGGGGUUACUCACUUUGAUGGGCCUGUGCAGCGUCAUUCAGGAAGCCCGUGGUACUCACAUCACUCUGGCCAGACGCUAACAAGAAAAUGAUCCACUGUGACGCAGCCGACCCCAUCCAGUGCAUCCACAUUACCUGGAAAGAAGCAAUUAUGCCCCUUUGGUUUCCUUGGAAAUGCUUGGUCUGUCUCUACCAUCCGCCCUGGCUCUUGAGAAAUACUCAUGCACGGUAGAGCUUUGACAGGGAGACAGUGUGUUUAUUUUCCAACUGAAAGUUUACAGAAUACAAAGUGAGCCUGUAAGAUGGUGGCCACUCUCCAGAGGCUUGUUGGUCAGACAGGAAAGAAAACCAGUGCACCAUCGGGAACGUGGAGGAGGCUGAAAGAGAGGGACAAACAUAUUGGAUUGGAUUGGGCCCCCACAGUCAAGUUCCUGCAAACCAAGCUGGGAGAUUUUCCUGACUAAGGGUUAUGUUCUUGGGCCUCAAAGCUCCCCAGCCAACGCCCAGCUUCUGUGCCGAGGAGGAUACAGGAGGACAGACACAGCCUCUGUGUCAGGAGGAGGGAAGAAGGACUAAUGUCUGUGGACACUCUGAGGCUCACAGGGAGAAGCCACACACUCGCAGCACCAGGUCUGUGGUUUUUCAUGACCCUACACUGUCCCCUAGAAGGAAGUACCACCCAGCAGAAACAGAAGCCAAGGAAUUUCCCCAUAGAGAUCAUGGCAUGGGCUUGAGUUCAAGAACUCAAUGGACAGCGGGCAGAAAUUGGAAAGCCCAGAGCCUCCACCACUAACUCCUGUGUGACUUCUGUAAGUCCCUUGCCCUUAAUUCACCCAUAUGAAAAAUUAGGAAAAAUGAUCUCUCACUUCUGAAAUUCAAUAAUUCUAUGAUGUCAGCAACUGGACCCAAGAGAUGAUGAGUUCUGCUACAGUUGUCUUGAUGAAAGUAAAAGCUGACAUUUUUUUAAGCAGCUGCUUAGAGUUUACCACUUGAGAUUUCAUGUAAUCCUUACAACCACUCUAGAAGAUGAGUAAACAGAGGCUUGGAGGGGUGAUGAAAUUUGCCAACAGUCAUCAAUCGUUCCAGGAACAGGUGAUGCUUCCCGGCAGUGAGACUCGAAACCAGCGGGAGUUCCCAGCCAGAGACAUGAUCUAAGUGCCAAUGGCUGAAUGUCUGUGAGCAUUUCAAGUCAUUUUAAGAAUAGGCAACAUUAGCGGCACCAUUAAAGCCUGCUGUUCCUCCAGCCCAUCACUGCCAUCCCCACCUAUUAAAAUAAUGGCAUGAAAAAUAAACAGCCUUUAUGUACAAUUUUAUACAGUG
Molecule: long non-coding RNA, 1562 nt
Filed under: Homo sapiens (human)
Lineage: Eukaryota; Metazoa; Chordata; Mammalia; Primates; Hominidae
Description: uncharacterized LOC105372971, transcript variant 3 (LOC105372971)
Source: RNAcentral